UUUCCGUAGGUGAACCUGCGGAAGGAUCAUUUUUGUAUAACCGAGGUUCGAGCGCUCUCUCUGACGCGAGAGCUCGUGCACGCACGAGUGCCAUCCCACACAUCCAUCUCAGCCCGAUGUUCACCACCGCGUGCUUCCCCCUUUGGCUUGUUCGUAGGGGGGCUUACGUUUUCACACAAUCUAUUUUUGAAGUGUAGAAUAUAUUUUUUUUAUUUGUGUUAACGCAAGCAAUAUUACUUUCAACAACGGAUCACUUGGCUCCCGCUUCGAAGAAGAACC
Molecule: unclassified non-coding RNA, 279 nt
Filed under: plant metagenome
Description: partial contains small subunit ribosomal RNA, internal transcribed spacer 1, and 5.8S ribosomal RNA
Source: RNAcentral